Molecule: long non-coding RNA, 134 nt
Organism: Bradysia coprophila
Lineage: Eukaryota; Metazoa; Arthropoda; Insecta; Diptera; Sciaridae
Source: RefSeq, a predicted model, not a curated record
AUGAAUCCAUUUUUUUCGCUGCAUAGUGUGUAAUUUUACACACUUUUACUACGAACAAAAAAGUGUGUAAAAUACACACUUUCAAAAAGUUUUUACACACAAUGUGUAAAAUACACGCUUAAAAAAGCCCGUGC